This 468-nucleotide ribosomal RNA is filed under the name uncultured bacterium. Its description in RNAcentral is "partial 16S ribosomal RNA". It matches the Rfam family "Bacterial small subunit ribosomal RNA", at positions 28 to 507 of the family's 1533-position model. The record is from RNAcentral.
GACGAACGCUGGCGGCGUGCUUAACACAUGCAAGUCGAACGGAAAGGCCCUGCUUUUGUGGGGUGCUCGAGUGGCGAACGGGUGAUUAACACGUGAGUAACCUGCCCUUGACUUUGGGAUAACUUCAGGAAACUGGGGCUAAUACCGGAUAGGAGCUCCUGCUGCAUGGUGGGGGUUGGAAAGUUUCGGCGGUUGGGGAUGGACUCGCGGCUUAUCAGCUUGUUGGUGGGGUAGUGGCUUACCAAGGCUUUGACGGGUAGCCGGCCUGAGAGGGUGACCGGCCACAUUGGGACUGAGAUACGGCGCAGACUCCUACGGGAGGCAGCAGUGGGGAAUAUUGCACAAUGGGCGGAAGCCGGAUGCAGCAACGCCGCGUGCGGGAUGACGACCUUCGGGUUGUAAACCGCUUUCGCCUGUGACGAAGCGUGAGUGACGGUAAUGGGUAAAGAAGCACCGGCUAACUACGCG